GCGGAUAUAGUUCAUCGGUAGAAUGCAAGCUUCCCAAGCUUGAGAGGCGGGUUCGAUUCCCGUUAUCCGCU
Molecule: transfer RNA, 71 nt
Filed under: Clostridiales bacterium
Lineage: Bacteria; Bacillati; Bacillota; Clostridia; Eubacteriales
Description: tRNA-Gly
Rfam family: tRNA
About the family: Transfer RNA (tRNA) molecules are approximately 80 nucleotides in length.
Source: RNAcentral